GCUGCGCACGCGCGUCUUGGCCCUGCGGCGGGGCUCGGCUCCCAGGCGAGCGUGCAGCUGUGCGCAUGCGCCGCUGCGGAAGGCGGGCCCUCCGGAAAGAUGGCCGCGGGAAGGCUCGCUUCCCGCCUCAGGGGCUCCCGGCGCUUACUGAGCGCCUUCGUGGCCGGAGCGGUGGUGGGCGCGGCGGGAGGCGGGCUCACGGCCCUGCGGCUGCUCCGGGGCCAGGGCGCCGAGGCGGCGCUGGCGGGGAGGGAGCCCGACGGUUGUGCAGAAAAAGCUCUCUUGGAACAAUUUGGAGUCCCUUUAACUGGAACAGAGACUAGGCAUUACACUAAUCAUGCCUUGUCUUAUGAUCAGUCAAAGCGGGUGCCUAGAUGGGUUCUUGAACAUAUAUCCAAAAGCAAGAUAAUGGGUGAUGCGGACAGAAAACAUUGUAAAUUCAAGCCUGAUCCCAACAUCCCUCCAACCUUCAGUGCCUUCAAUGAAGACUAUGUCGGGAGCGGGUGGUCACGAGGACACAUGGCUCCAGCAGGAAAUAACAAAUUUUCAUCUCAAGCCAUGGCUGAAACCUUUUACCUUUCUAAUAUUGUGCCUCAGAAUUUUGAUAAUAAUGCUGGAUACUGGAACAGAAUGGAAAUAUACUGUCGAGAACUGACAGAGAGGUUUGAAGAUGUUUGGAUAGUGUCUGGACCACUGACUUUACCGCAGACUGGAAGUGAUGGAAAGAAAACCGUUAGUUACCAGGUGAUUGGUAAGGAUAAUGUGGCGGUCCCCUCGCACCUUUAUAAGGUGAUCCUGGCUCGCAGAAGCCCCAUGUCUACCGAACCGCUGGCACUAGGGGCCUUCGUGGUGCCCAAUGAAGCCAUUGGCUUCCAACGCCAGUUCAGUGAGUUCCAGGUGAGCCUUCAGGACCUGGAGAAGUUGUCAGGCCUGGUGUUUUUCCCUAAUCUGGAUAGAACCAGCGGCAUCAGGAACAUCUGCUCCGUGGACACCUGUAAGCUCCUGGAUUUCCAAGAGUUCACUCUGUACCUGAGCACACGGAAGAUUGAGGGAGCCCGAUCAGUACCCAGACUGGAGAAGGUCAUGGAAAAUCUGAAGAACGCAGGAGUUGAACCAGAUGAUUACUUCAUGAACCGCUAUAAGAAGAAACUGGAAGAACUCAAAGCGAAGGAGCAGUCCGGAAUCCUGGAGAGGAGGCCACCUUAGUUUCUGUCUCAGAGGACGCGUGAGAGCAUCUGUCAUGAGCAGGGGAAAGCACUAAAUUGGUUGUACAAGACAGCCACUCCGGGAUGUUGAGCACCCAUGAACCCUCUGGAAGCACACAGCAUGGCUGGGCCAGCUCUCGGGACAACUGCUGUGUGCAGGGAGCCGCACUGGGUCCUCAUCCCAUCUUCACACCUACCCACCGGGCAGCCUUCUGCGACUGACCUCAUUCAUCCUAAAUCAGGUGCAGUGGUAUGAGGAGGCGGAGCCUUUGGAGGGUGACCAGCUCUGCGCUCAUGAAUGGGAUUAGGGCCCUAAUGAAAGGGACUCCAGAGAGGUCCUCGGCGCCUCGGUCACGUGAGGACCCUGCAGAAUGAAUGCCGAAGCGGAAAGUGGGCUCUCACCAGACACGGAGUCUGCCAGCACCUUGGUCUUGGGCUCCCCAGCCUCCAGAACUGUGAGAAUUUCUUCUGUUUGUAAAGCACCCAGUCUGUGGGGUUUUGUUACAGCAGCCUGAACCAGCCAAGACUGACUGACGAAGGUCAUCCUGCCCUGAGAAGGUGAAGGGCAGAGCCCCACCUUAAUGCGGCGCUGCGCCCUGGGCCAGGUGGAAGCAGCUCUGCCCCGCCCCGGUCCUGAGCCACCACACCAGCUCUUUGUGUCACUGCUUUGCAGUCUGUAAAGUGCUUUCGCGUCAGAACUUAGGCCACCGUUCGAGUAGCUGCUCUUCAUCCCAUUUCACAAAUGAGCGAACAAGCUCCAGGAGUGUAGGACUCAGGAAGGUUUUCUGGCUCUCAGCCUACCCGCGCGCCCUCCGCCCCCCAAGGUUGUUGCAGUUCUUUUAAUCUGCCCUGUAAUUCGGCCGUGGAUGCAUUUACUCGUCUUAGCCCUACGAGGCCCCGCUGACUUCCUAGAAGCAGACAAGUGAUGCACUCGACUCCUUUUUCUGGGGCCUCCAGGGGGUUCUGCAAACAGUACAUGCUCGAAAGAUGUUUUGCAGUUACCAACAACUCAGAAAAGUUGAGACAAUCCGCUUGGGUCCCAGGGUGCUCGUCAUCU
This is an RNA transcript of Hyaena hyaena (striped hyena), 2262 nucleotides long. It is a transcript of the gene named exo/endonuclease G, with no coding region annotated. Lineage: Eukaryota; Metazoa; Chordata; Mammalia; Carnivora; Hyaenidae. The transcript has 8 exons. The record is from RefSeq and is a predicted model, not a curated record.